This 107-nucleotide non-coding RNA is filed under the name Nesterenkonia sp. RNAcentral's name for it is "TPP sequence". It matches the Rfam family "TPP riboswitch aptamer (THI element)". From Rfam's summary of the family: Vitamin B(1) in its active form thiamin pyrophosphate (TPP) is an essential coenzyme that is synthesised by coupling of pyrimidine and thiazole moieties in bacteria. The previously detected thiamin-regulatory element, thi box was extended, resulting in a new, highly conserved RNA secondary structure, the THI element, which is widely distributed in eubacteria and also occurs in some archaea. Lineage: Bacteria; Bacillati; Actinomycetota; Actinomycetes; Micrococcales; Micrococcaceae. The record is from RNAcentral.
CUGGAAUUCCGUGGGAGCCCGGGCAGGCCGGGCUGAGAGGGCGAAGCCGCCGACCACUCGGACUCGAUGCGGGUCAUGCCGCCGUGAGGAGGAGAUGUGGGCGUCAC